Molecule: ribosomal RNA, 466 nt
Filed under: uncultured bacterium
Lineage: Bacteria
Description: partial 16S ribosomal RNA
Rfam family: Bacterial small subunit ribosomal RNA
Source: RNAcentral
GAUGAACGCUGGCGGCGUGCUUAACACAUGCAAGUCGAACGAUGAAGCAGAGCUUGCUGGGUGGAUAAGUGGCGAACGGGUGAGUAACACGUGAGUAAACUGCCCUUAACUCUGGGAUAAGCCUGGGCAACAGGGUACAUUACCGGAUAGGAGCGUCCACCGCAUGGUGGGUGCUGGAAAGAUUUAUAGGUUUUAGAUGGACACGCGGCCUAUCAGCUUGUUGGUGAGGUAAUGGAUCACCAAGGCGACGACGGGUAGCCGGCCAGAGAGGGUGACCGGCCACACGACGACUGAGAGACGGCCCAGACUCCAACGUUAGACAGCAGUGGUGAAGAUGGCGCAGACAGCUCAAGUCUGAUACAGCGACGUUCCGUGAGGAAAGACCGCCUUCUGGGAGUAAACCGCGUUCAGUAGGGAAGAAGCGAAAGUGACGGUACCUGAAGAAGAAGCACCGGCUAACUACGUG